RNAcentral lists this ribosomal RNA (448 nucleotides) under uncultured bacterium. RNAcentral describes it as "bacterial SSU rRNA". It matches the Rfam family "Bacterial small subunit ribosomal RNA", at positions 355 to 796 of the family's 1533-position model. The record is from RNAcentral.
UUUCGAAUCAUUCACAAUGGGCGAAAGCCUGAUGGUGCGACGCCGCGUGAGGGAUGAAGGCCUUCGGGUUGUAAACCUCUGUCACCGGGGAAGAAACGCUUCAAGUUAACAGCUUGAAGCCUGACUUAACCCGGAGAGGAAGCAGUGGCUAACUCUGUGCCAGCAGCCGCGGUAAUACAGAGACUGCAAGCGUUAUUCGGAUUCACUGGGCGUAAAGGGUGCGCAGGUGGCCAGGUGUGUGAGGCGUGAAAGCCCGAUGCUUAACAUCGGAAUUGCACCUCAAACUACUUGGCUAGAGCAUUGGAGAGGGAAGCGGAAUUCACGGUGUAGCAGUGAAAUGCGUAGAUAUCGUGAGGAACACCAGAGGCGAAGGCGGCUUCCUGGACAAUAGCUGACACUCAGGCACGAAAGCGUGGGGAGCAAAAGGGAUUAGAUACCCCCGUAGUCC